Molecule: ribosomal RNA, 301 nt
Filed under: uncultured bacterium
Lineage: Bacteria
Description: partial 16S ribosomal RNA
Rfam family: Bacterial small subunit ribosomal RNA
Source: RNAcentral
CAGCAGCACGGGAAUACAGAGGGUGCGAGCGUUAAUCGGAUUUACUGGGCGUAAAGCGUGCGUAGGCGGCUAAUUGAGUCGGAUGUGAAAUCCCCGAGCUUAACUUGGGAAUUGCAUUCGAUACUGGUUAGCUAGAGUGUGGGAGAGGAUGGUAGAAUUCCAGGUGUAGCGGUGAAAUGCGUAGAGAUCUGGAGGAAUACCGAUGGCGAAGGCAGCCAUCUGGCCUAAUACUGACGCUGAGGUACGAAAGCAUGGGGAGCAAACAGGAUUAGAUACCCGUGUAGUCCCUGUCUCUUAUACA